Molecule: ribosomal RNA, 506 nt
Filed under: Acinetobacter baumannii
Lineage: Bacteria; Pseudomonadati; Pseudomonadota; Gammaproteobacteria; Moraxellales; Moraxellaceae
Description: partial 23S ribosomal RNA
Rfam family: Bacterial large subunit ribosomal RNA
Source: RNAcentral
UCUGAAUGGGGGAACCCACCUACUUUAAGGUAGGUAUUGCAACAUGAAUACAUAGUGUUGCAAGGCGAACGAGGGGAAGUGAAACAUCUCAGUACCCUUAGGAAAAGAAAUCAAUUGAGAUUCCCUCAGUAGCGGCGAGCGAACGGGGAUCAGCCCAUUAAGUUAUGUGUGUUUUAGUGGAACGCUCUGGGAAGUGCGAACGUAGAGGGUGAUAUUCCCGUACACGAAAGGGCACACAUAAUGAUGACGAGUAGGGCGAGGCACGUGAAACCUUGUCUGAAUAUGGGGGGACCAUCCUCCAAGGCUAAAUACUCCUGACUGACCGAUAGUGAACCAGUACCGUGAGGGAAAGGCGAAAAGAACCCCUGUGAGGGGAGUGAAAUAGAUCCUGAAACCGCAUGCAUACAAGCAGUGGGAGCACCUUCGUGGUGUGACUGCGUACCUUUUGUAUAAUGGGUCAGCGACUUAUAUUCAGUAGCGAGGUUAACCGUAUAGGGGAGCCGUAG